Molecule: long non-coding RNA, 1454 nt
Organism: Branchiostoma floridae (Florida lancelet)
Lineage: Eukaryota; Metazoa; Chordata; Leptocardii; Amphioxiformes; Branchiostomatidae
Exons: 3
Source: RefSeq, a predicted model, not a curated record
GACGGGGACAAGUACGAUAUCCUCACCUGGGACGUGCAGCCCGGAGACUGUAUCGUGUCCCACAUGAAGACCCUACACGGCGCGCCCGCCAACCCGUCCCUGGCUCUGCGCAGGCGCGUGGUCUCCACACGGUGGGUGGGGGAUGACGCCGUGCUGGCCGAGAGGCCGUGGGAAGUCUCUCCGCCAAUCACAGGGGGCCUUACAUACGGCAACAAGAUGGCGUGCGACACUUUCCCGCUCAUCUGGAAGAGAGACUGAGAUUGGCUGUAUAAUCUCCAAGCAGAUGUUUAGAGUGGAGAUUGUAAUUUUCUGUUGUAACAAUCAAUGAUAGGCGUGAUGACAACACACUCAAGCUCACAGCUCAUGUUCGUUUCGUCAUAAAAACAAAAGGCACUGCAAAGUAGUAAUACAGACGAGCAAGGCACUUAAGCACUUAAAUAACAAGUAAUGUAAGGUAAACCACGUAAUUACAAAAUCAUUUGAAAACUUAAUUUUUAUGCAGGUAAAUUGUAUGCAGUUCCCGUAUUUUAUUGAUUGUUUAAUUGCCCAUAACAAGUAGUUAUAAUAAGUAUUUUCUUUUUUUCUAUUCUAUGGCAAUGGUGGUGAAGAAGGUGCUUCUAUGUUUGAAACAUUUUACCGUCAGUUUUUAUACCUUAUAUCUCACAUUUGUAACUAAUUAUAAACUGUCAACCAGGAAAAUUUGCCAGCAAAUACUCAAUGUUUAGCUUCACAUGGUCUAAUUUUCUGUUAAUUCUUACUCCGACACCUUCAUUGUGUAUGAUGACCGUCUCUCUCCCAGCUGUCAGUUGCUACAUUAGACAGUUUCAAAUUACAAAUAUAGCACCCUCCUCUCCCUCCCCAUUACAAUACUCCGCUUGUUAUUAUUUUCCACGCCUCGCAUGCGCAGUAGAUUUCCACAUCACAGGCAGCAUAAUCUUCAAUUAGUUGAUGGCGGCUGCCUCCAUCGAAAGAAGAAGAAGAUGCAAAACAACUGCUACUGUAGUAUCAAGGUCAACCACCAGGAGACCCUAAAUCGACAUUCGUCGUCAGGAUCACCCCACCUACAAAAAUUACAAAAAUCUUUGCGGUUCUUGAGAUAUAUCCCCGUACACCAUCCGGACUAAAAACAGUACCUCCAUUUUCAUGACGGCAAUAAUAAUGAUAAAAUAUCUUAUUUUUACAUGAGGCCACAGUUUCUUCUUUGACUACAGGUUUUGCUUUUAGGUCGAUAUAAACGGAAGCAGGCAGCCAUGGGUUUAGUGGCACACGCCUGCAUCUAUGUUUUUAUGUUGUCACCAGUUAUUGAGCAGCCAGCUAACAUUUGUGAGUCAAAUUGAAUGCAGAUAUCUCCCUCCCCGUCUAGUAUAAGUCAUAGAGUAAACUGUUAUACGAAGAAGUGACGACAGACAUGGUACCGCUUCAGUAAAAUAUUAAGGUUUUAGAUUACAGUCAUG